GCUGGUCGCAGAUGGCUGGACGAAAGUCCAGAGCCGGAGGUGGACGUUGUCGCGCGUCAUGCAGCCCAUCGGGGUGGAUUUUGUGGACGUGUAUUUGCCUAUUUGCACCUAGUUAGUCUUUCCCCAGGUGCCAGGUCUUUCCUGCCCUGGGGGUGAGGUUUCUCCCGAAGGACUACUUUGGUAAGGAAGAGUCAGGGAGAUUAAGAAGGGAGCGAUCUUCUCUCUUGAGGCAAUAAGCCCGAAGAUGCUCUGUUCUUGGGCGUUGGAAUCGUGGUAGUGGCUGGCGAUAGAGAGGACGACUGGCUUGUCCGUCACACCCCUCAGUGCCUCCACACUUACUGUUUCCACACUCACCACCUGCCUCUAUGCUCCCCCCAUCAUCUCCACACCCACCCCAACAUCUCCACACUCCCCCAUCAUCUCCACACCCACCCCCAACAUCUCCAUACUCUCCCCAUCUUCUCCACACCCACCCCCAUCAUCUCCACAACCACCCCAACAUCUCCACACCCACCCCCAUCAUCUCCACACCCACCCCCAUCAUCUCCUCACCCACCCAACAUCUCCAUACUCUCCCCAUCAUUUCCACAUCCACCCCCAUCAUCUCCACACCCACCCCCAUCAUCUCCUCACCCACCCCAACAUCUCCACACCCACCCCAACAUCUCUAUACUCUCCCCAUCUUCUCCACACCCACCCCCAUCAUCUCCACACCCACCCCAACAUCUCCAUACUCUCCCCAUCAUCUCCACCCCCACCCCUAUCAUCUCUACACUCCCCCCAUCAUCUCCAUACUCUCCCCAUCAUCUCCACACCCAGCCCCAUCAUCUCCAUACUCUCCCCAUCAUCUCCACAUCCACCCCCAUCAUCUCCACACUCCCCCCAUCAUCUCCACACCCACCCCCAUCAUCUCCACACCCACCCCAACAUCUCCACACCCACCCCAACAUCUCUAUACUCUCCCCAUCUUCUCCACACCCACCCCCAUCAUCUCCACACCCACCCCAACAUCUCCAUACUCUCCCCAUCAUCUCCACCCCCACCCCUAUCAUCUCUACACUCCCCCCAUCAUCUCCACACCCAGCCCCAUCAUCUCUAUACUCUCCCCAUCAUCUCCACACCCACCCCCAUCAUCUCCACACCCACCCCCAUCAUCUCCACACCCACCCCAACAUCUCCAUACUCUCCCCAUCAUCUCCACCCCCACCCCUAUCAUCUCUACACUCCCCCCAUCAUCUCCAUACUCUCCCCAUCAUCUCCACACCUACCCCAACAUCUCCAUUCUCUCCCCAUCAUCUCCACACCCACCCCCAUCUUCUCCAUACUCUCCCCAUCAUCUCCACCCCCACCCCUAUCAUCUCUACACUCCCCCCAUCAUCUCCAUACUCUCCCCAUCAUCUCCACAUCCACCCCCAUCAUCUCCAUCCUCCCCCCAUCAUCUCCACAUCCACCCCAUCAUCUUCACACCCACCCCCAUCAUCUCCACACCUACCCCAACAUCUCCAUUCUCUCCCCAUCAUCUCCACACCCACCCCCAUCAUCUCCACUCUCCCCCCAUCAUCUCUACUCUCUCCAUCAUCUCCACACUCCCCCCAUCAUCUCCACACUCACCUCCAUCAUCUCCAUACUCUCCCAUCAUCUCCAUACUCACCCACAUCACCUCCACACUCCCCCUCAUUAUCUCCACGCUCCUCCAUCUCCUAACACCUCCACACUGAUGCUCCUUAUUUCCAUUCACCCAC
Molecule: long non-coding RNA, 1742 nt
Filed under: Canis lupus familiaris (dog)
Lineage: Eukaryota; Metazoa; Chordata; Mammalia; Carnivora; Canidae
Description: lncRNA (ENSCAFG00030012556.1)
Source: RNAcentral